This 507-nucleotide ribosomal RNA is filed under the name uncultured soil bacterium. RNAcentral describes it as "bacterial SSU rRNA". It matches the Rfam family "Bacterial small subunit ribosomal RNA", at positions 26 to 513 of the family's 1533-position model. The record is from RNAcentral.
AGAACGAACGCUGGCGGCGUGGAUAAGACAUGCAAGUCGAACGGAACAUUAUCUGUAGCAAUACAGGUGAUGUUUAGUGGCGAACGGGUGAGUAACACGUGGGUAACCUGCCUCGAUGACUGGGACAACCCGGGGAAACCCGGGCUAAUACCGGAUGUGCUCCUUCACAUCAGUGAAGACAGGAAAGGAAGCUUCGGCCUCCGCAUCGAGAUGGGCCCGCGGCCCAUUAGCUUGUUGGUGAGGUAACGGCUCACCAAGGCUGCGAUGGGUAGCUGGUCUGAGAGGACGAUCAGCCACACUGGGACUGAGACACGGCCCAGACUCCUACGGGAGGCAGCAGUGGGGAAUCUUGCGCAAUGCGCGAAAGCGUGACGCAGCAACGGCCGCGUGGGGAAGACGGCCUUCGGUUGUAACCCCUUUCGAGGAGGACGAAGCGUCGAGCGGUUAAUAGCUGACUCGUGUGACGGUACCUCCGAGAAGAACGCCCGGACUAACUACGUGCCGACG